Molecule: microRNA, 23 nt
Filed under: Gallus gallus (chicken)
Lineage: Eukaryota; Metazoa; Chordata; Aves; Galliformes; Phasianidae
Description: gga-miR-7437-5p
Source: miRBase by way of RNAcentral
GAACAGAGCGUUGGAAGGUAGGG